This 468-nucleotide ribosomal RNA is filed under the name uncultured bacterium. Its description in RNAcentral is "partial 16S ribosomal RNA". It matches the Rfam family "Bacterial small subunit ribosomal RNA", at positions 28 to 507 of the family's 1533-position model. The record is from RNAcentral.
GACGAACGCUGGCGGCGUGCUUAACACAUGCAAGUCGAACGGAAAGGCCCUGCUUUUGUGGGGUGCUCGAGUGGCGAACGGGUGAGUAACACGUGAGUAACCUGCCCUUGACUUUGGGAUAACUUCAGGAAACUGGGGCUAAUACCGGAUAGGAGCUCCUGCUGCAUGGUGGGGGUUGGAAAGUUUCGGCGGUUGGGGAUGGACCCGCGGCUUAUCAGCUUGUUGGUGGGGUAGUGGCUUACCAAGGCUUUGACGGGUAGCCGGCCUGAGAGGGUGACCGGCCACAUUGGGACUGAGAUACGGCCCAGACUCCUACGGGAGGCAGCAGUGGGGAAUAUUGCACAAUGGGCGGAAGCCUGAUGCAGCAACGCCGCGUGCGGGAUGACGGCCUUCGGGUUGUAAACCGCUUUCGCCUGUGACGAAGCGUGGGUGACGGUAAUGGGUAAAGAAGCACCGGCUAACUACGUG